UACGGGGGGGGCGAGCGUUGUUCGGAAUUAUUGGGCGUAAAGGGCGCGUAGGCGGUGCGGUAAGUCUGAUGUGAAACCUCCAGGCUCAACUUGGAGCUUGCAUCAGAAACUGCCGUGCUAGAGUGUGGGAGAGGAAAGUGGAAUUCCCGGUGUAGCGGUGAAAUGCGUAGAUAGCGGGAGGAACAUCGGUGGCGAAAGCGGCGAGCUGGAUCACUACUGACGCUGAGGAACGAAAGCUAGGGGAGCAAACAGG
Molecule: ribosomal RNA, 253 nt
Filed under: uncultured bacterium
Lineage: Bacteria
Description: partial 16S ribosomal RNA
Rfam family: Bacterial small subunit ribosomal RNA
Source: RNAcentral